UAUGACAACAGGAAGAAGAUGCAAGCC
Molecule: non-coding RNA, 27 nt
Filed under: Mus musculus (house mouse)
Lineage: Eukaryota; Metazoa; Chordata; Mammalia; Rodentia; Muridae
Source: RNAcentral